RNAcentral lists this ribosomal RNA (570 nucleotides) under Fusarium sp. zzz305a. RNAcentral's name for it is "eukaryotic LSU rRNA". The stretch from base 189 to 342 matches the Rfam family "5.8S ribosomal RNA". The record is from RNAcentral. Lineage: Eukaryota; Fungi; Ascomycota; Sordariomycetes; Hypocreales; Nectriaceae.
AGAAAAAGGGGCUACGUUGGUGACCAGCGGAGGGUCAUUACCGAGUUUACAACUCCCAAACCCCUGUGAACAUACCAAUUGUUGCCUCGGCGGAUCAGCCCGCUCCCGGUAAAACGGGACGGCCCGCCAGAGGACCCCUAAACUCUGUUUCUAUAUGUAACUUCUGAGUAAAACCAUAAAUAAAUCAAAACUUUCAACAACGGAUCUCUUGGUUCUGGCAUCGAUGAAGAACGCAGCAAAAUGCGAUAAGUAAUGUGAAUUGCAGAAUUCAGUGAAUCAUCGAAUCUUUGAACGCACAUUGCGCCCGCCAGUAUUCUGGCGGGCAUGCCUGUUCGAGCGUCAUUUCAACCCUCAAGCCCUCGGGUUUGGUGUUGGGGAUCGGCGAGCCCUUGCGGCAAGCCGGCCCCGAAAUCUAGUGGCGGUCUCGCUGCAGCUUCCAUUGCGUAGUAGUAAAACCCUCGCAACUGGUACGCGGCGCGGCCAAGCCGUUAAACCCCCAACUUCUGAAUGUUGACCUCGGAUCAGGUAGGAAUACCCGCUGAACUUAAGCAUAUCAUAUUGGGAAGGAAA